RNAcentral lists this ribosomal RNA (465 nucleotides) under Vreelandella stevensii. RNAcentral describes it as "partial 16S ribosomal RNA". It matches the Rfam family "Bacterial small subunit ribosomal RNA", at positions 338 to 795 of the family's 1533-position model. Lineage: Bacteria; Pseudomonadati; Pseudomonadota; Gammaproteobacteria; Oceanospirillales; Halomonadaceae. The record is from RNAcentral.
CCUACGGGAGGCAGCAGUGGGGAAUAUUGGACAAUGGGGGGAACCCUGAUCCAGCCAUGCCGCGUGUGUGAAGAAGGCCCUCGGGUUGUAAAGCACUUUCAGUGAGGAAGAACGCCUGGUGGUUAAUACCCAUCAGGAAAGACAUCACUCACAGAAGAAGCACCGGCUAACUCCGUGCCAGCAGCCGCGGUAAUACGGAGGGUGCGAGCGUUAAUCGGAAUUACUGGGCGUAAAGCGCGCGUAGGUGGCUUGAUAAGCCGGUUGUGCAAGCCCCGGGCUCAACCUGGGAACGGCAUCCGGAACUGUCAAGCUAGAGUGCAGGAGAGGAAGGUAGAAUUCCCGGUGUAGCGGUGAAAUGCGUAGAGAUCGGGAGGAAUACCAGUGGCGAAGGCGGCCUUCUGGACUGACACUGACACUGAGGUGCGAAAGCGUGGGUAGCAAACAGGAUUAGAUACCCUAGUAGUC